This 257-nucleotide ribosomal RNA is filed under the name uncultured bacterium. RNAcentral describes it as "partial 16S ribosomal RNA". It matches the Rfam family "Bacterial small subunit ribosomal RNA", at positions 524 to 776 of the family's 1533-position model. The record is from RNAcentral.
UACGUAGGGUGCGAGCGUUAAUCGGAAUUACUGGGCGUAAAGCGUGCGCAGGCGGUUUUGUAAGCCAGAUGUGAAAUCCCCGGGCUUAACCUGGGAAAUGGCAUUUGGGACUGCAAGGCUCGAGUGCGGCAGAGGAGACUGGAAUUCCUGGUGUAGCAGUGAAAUGCGGUAGAUAAUCGAGAGGAACACCUGCGGCGAAGGCGGGGUUGCUGGGCUGAUACUGACGCUGGAGGCGCGAAAGCCAGGGAGCGAACGGG